This is a long non-coding RNA of Belonocnema kinseyi, 434 nucleotides long. RefSeq lists it as uncharacterized. The transcript has 3 exons. Lineage: Eukaryota; Metazoa; Arthropoda; Insecta; Hymenoptera; Cynipidae. The record is from RefSeq and is a predicted model, not a curated record.
GCCCCUCUUCAGCUGCAUACGGUACUGUUUAUCACAGUUCAUAUCAUAACCGUGUUUAUUUACCUGACAACAAUGUUUGGAUGUUUUUAAUUGCAUUGCAAUGUAACCGCUAUGUUUCUUUCAGAAGGAUAAUACAAAACGUUUCAAUUAAUCAAUUUCCAAGGGUUGGAGCAUGCUAGUGGCAAAAUGAAUAAUUUGUUAGUUCUAGAGAAACAAUAUUGAUAAAUAUAGUCAACCAAGAUCAUCAGCGUAAAAGAAAAUAUUAUUGUUUGGCACUGGAUCCCAAUUAUGAAAAAGGAAUGACAACUUUUAGAACGCACAAAGUAUGGGAUAGGUCAAAUAUCAAAAGCUUUAAAAUUGGAAACUAAAUUGUUUUGGAUAGAAAGCUGGGAAUAGAAUUUUUUCUUCAAUUAAAACAGCCUCACAGAAAAUAA